This 592-nucleotide long non-coding RNA is filed under the name Trifolium pratense (red clover). RNAcentral describes it as "long non-coding RNA (TPRA_LNC010256)". Lineage: Eukaryota; Viridiplantae; Streptophyta; Magnoliopsida; Fabales; Fabaceae. The record is from RNAcentral.
ACACCUCUUUCUAACCCUUUUGCAGGUCCUUCUUCCUCAUCUCGCCAGAGCACCAUCGAUGAUGUACUUAAUGAGUUGCGCGCCCAAAAUGCUUUGAAUGAAGAGCGUGAUGGCCUCUUUUAUGCAAUUCACCAACAACAAGAGGGGAUGUUGGAACAAAUGAACUCAAUGCAAACACAACAAACUCUUAUUCUCCGCAAUCAACACCAGUUGGAGGCUGCCAAUGCACGACAACAGCAGCAACUCGAUCGCGUCAUUUAUGACAUAAGCGAUUUGAGAUUGCAAUUUGACAACUAUCAGAGAUACCCGCAGCCUCCUCCAUGAUUCACCAUUUUUCAGGUUACACGUUCCUUUCCUUUCUUUAAGUCACAACAUUGGGGACAAUGUUGGAUUUAAGUUUAGGGGAGGACUUUACUGUUUUUAUUUUCUACUUUUCAGUCUAAUUUUAUUUUAGUCUAAUUUUCCUUUUUUGCAAAUAAAUUUUUUCGGGUUAUUUUAAAUUUUUUCCAAAAUCUUGAGCCAUAACAAAAAUUUUGAGAAGUAAUACAAUUUUGAUUUUCCAAAAGUCACUGACAAAAUUAAGUUGUGAGCA